UUUGAUGCAUUACUGUAUUUUAAUAUUUUGUUGGAAGCCGCCCAGAGUGGCUGGGGAAGCCCAGCCAGAUGGGCGGGGUAUAAAUAAAUAAAUAAAUAAAUAAAUAAAAUAAUAAUAAUAAUAAUAAUAAUAAUAAUAAUAAUAAUAAAAAAUUUAUAAUUUAUAUGCUGCCCAUCAGACUGGGUAGCCCCAGUCACUCUGGGCGACUCCCAACAAAAUAUUAAAAACACAAUAAAAUAUCAA
Non-coding RNA from Podarcis lilfordi (Lilford's wall lizard), 243 nucleotides. The record is from the annotation of a GenBank genome assembly. Lineage: Eukaryota; Metazoa; Chordata; Lepidosauria; Squamata; Lacertidae.